GGAGGAAAGUAGGGGAUCGAAAGACCUUGCGCUUUUGGAGCGGCCGAUGUCUGAUUAGCUAGUUGGUGGGGUAAGGGCCUACCAAGGCGACGAUCAGUAGUUGGUCUGAGAGGACGACCAGCCACACUGGGACUGAGACACGGCCCAGACUCCUACGGGAGGCAGCAGUGGGGAAUUUUGGACAAUGGGCGCAAGCCUGAUCCAGCAAUGCCGCGUGAGUGAAGAAGGCCUUCGGGUUGUAAAGCUCUUUCAGUCGAGAAGAAAAGGCUGCAGUGAAUAACUGUAGUUUAUGACGGUAUCGACAGAAGAAGCACCGGCUAACUACGUGCCAGCAGCCGCGGUAAUACGUAGGGUGCGAGCGUUAAUCGGAAUUACUGGGCGUAAAGGGUGCGCAGGCGGUUUUGUAAGUCAGAUGUGAAAUCCCCGGGCUUAACCUGGGAAUUGCGUUUGAAACUACAAGGCUAG
RNAcentral lists this ribosomal RNA (465 nucleotides) under uncultured ammonia-oxidizing bacterium. RNAcentral describes it as "bacterial SSU rRNA". It matches the Rfam family "Bacterial small subunit ribosomal RNA", at positions 198 to 644 of the family's 1533-position model. The record is from RNAcentral.